RNAcentral lists this ribosomal RNA (261 nucleotides) under uncultured Stenotrophomonas sp. Its description in RNAcentral is "partial 16S ribosomal RNA". It matches the Rfam family "Bacterial small subunit ribosomal RNA", at positions 92 to 354 of the family's 1533-position model. The record is from RNAcentral. Lineage: Bacteria; Pseudomonadati; Pseudomonadota; Gammaproteobacteria; Lysobacterales; Lysobacteraceae.
CGAGUGGCGGACGGGUGAGGAAUACAUCGGAAUCUACUCUGUCGUGGGGGAUAACGUAGGGAAACUUACGCUAAUACCGCAUACGACCUACGGGUGAAAGCAGGGGAUCUUCGGACCUUGCGCGAUUGAAUGAGCCGAUGUCGGAUUAGCUAGUUGGCGGGGUAAAGGCCCACCAAGGCGACGAUCCGUAGAUGGUCUGAGAGGAUGAUCAGCCACACUGGAACUGAGACACGGUCCAGACUCCUACGGGAGGCAGCAGGG